GAGUUUGAUCUUGGCUCAGAUUGAACGCUGGCGGCAGGCCUAACACAUGCAAGUCGAACGGUAACAGGAAGCAGCUUGCUGCUUCGCUGACGAGUGGCGGACGGGUGAGUAAUGUCUGGAAGCUGCCUGAUGGAGGGGAUAACUACUGGAAACGGUAGCUAAUACCGCAUAAUGUCGCAAGACCAAAGAGGGGGACCUUCGGGCCUCUUGCCAUCGGAUGUGCCCAGAUGGGAUUAGCUUGUUGGUGGGGUAACGGCUCACCAAGGCGACGAUCCCUAGCUGGUCUGAGAGGAUGACCAGCCACACUGGAACUGAGACACGGUCCAGACUCCUACGGGAGGCAGCAGUGGGGAAUAUUGCACAAUGGGCGCAAGCCUGAUGCAGCCAUGCCGCGUGUAUGAAGAAGGCC
This 409-nucleotide ribosomal RNA is filed under the name uncultured microorganism. Its description in RNAcentral is "bacterial SSU rRNA". It matches the Rfam family "Bacterial small subunit ribosomal RNA", at positions 9 to 416 of the family's 1533-position model. The record is from RNAcentral.